AGUUUCUGUUCUGGAAUGUCAAGCCAUUUCGAGUAGAUGUCGGCAUUUCCUAAAGAAAGCAGUUGCAGUAGGAGUAGCCCCUGGAGCGCUAACUCGAAAUUGAUCAAGAAUGAAUGUGUAAUGAUGGUGAUUCUACAUGGGGCUCAAUAAAUAAUUGAAUGUAGAAAGGGGAUCCUAAACUAAAAAGGAGUCAAUGACCCC
RNAcentral lists this long non-coding RNA (201 nucleotides) under Olea europaea (common olive). Its description in RNAcentral is "long non-coding RNA (OEUR_LNC013373)". Lineage: Eukaryota; Viridiplantae; Streptophyta; Magnoliopsida; Lamiales; Oleaceae. The record is from RNAcentral.